This is a long non-coding RNA of Lotus japonicus, 585 nucleotides long. RefSeq lists it as uncharacterized. The record is from RefSeq and is a predicted model, not a curated record. The transcript is spliced from 3 exons. NCBI's taxonomy places the organism in Eukaryota, Viridiplantae, Streptophyta, Magnoliopsida, Fabales, Fabaceae.
UUUGCAUAUAAGGUUUAGUAUAUCUGAAGAUGAAUGUGUAAUUUUUUGUUUUUGUUUUUGACCAAUAUAAAUUCGAGUAAAAAAUUAUAACAAUCUUUUUUUAUAUGCAAUUUUUUCUGAGUUUGAACUUGUAUCAUCAUUCUUAUGUAAAUCUAGUCUAUUUAUUAUUGAACUAACACAUCUUCGGUAAAUAUUAUAGUGUUGCCCCGAAUCCCUCUCACUCCCGACCAGCUCAAGCACUGCACCCAAGCGCUCUCCUUGCUCAAGCAGAAGCUCCUCACUCCUCACACCAUCUCCCAAUAGUUCGCUUACUUGCAGACGAACAGGUUUACACCGAGUCAGAUGAAGAUGAGUUGCAACGUUGCUCUUGAUCCUGUCAAUUCCAGCAAGAAUGACGUGAUACCAUGUAAUAAAUUCACCACUUUAUUUUUUUUUCUAGGAAAUUGAUUUCUACUUGUUUAACUCAGUUGAUAAGAACAGGGUUGUUCUGAAAUCAAGCACUGAUUAUAGGCCUGCAGCAUUGGGGUAUAUCAAUGCAAGCUUUGUCUCGACAUCUUCCCCUGGAGUUGUAUCGUCCCAGUUUAU